This 253-nucleotide ribosomal RNA is filed under the name uncultured bacterium. RNAcentral's name for it is "partial 16S ribosomal RNA". It matches the Rfam family "Bacterial small subunit ribosomal RNA", at positions 524 to 776 of the family's 1533-position model. The record is from RNAcentral.
UACGAAGGGGGCUAGCGUUGCUCGGAAUUACUGGGCGUAAAGGGCGCGUAGGCGGCACUGUUAGUCAGGCGUGAAAGUCCUGGGCUCAACCUGGGAACUGCGCUUGAUACGGCAGAGCUAGAGGAUGGAAGAGGGUCGCGGAAUUCCCAGUGUAGAGGUGAAAUUCGUAGAUAUUGGGAAGAACACCGGUGGCGAAGGCGGCGACCUGGCCCGAUACUGACGCUGAGGCACGAAAGCGUGGGGAGCAAACAGG